GACGAACGCUGGCGGCGUGCUUAACACAUGCAAGUCGAACGGAAAGGCCCUGCUUUUGUGGGGUGCUCGAGUGGCGAACGGGUGAGUAACACGUGAGUAACCUGCCCUUGACUUUGGGAUAACUUCAGGAAACUGGGGCUAAUACCGGAUAGGAGCUCCUGCUGCAUGGUGGGGGUUGGAAAGUUUCGGCGGUUGGGGAUGGACUCGCGGCUUAUCAGCUUGUUGGUGGGGUAGUGGCUUACCAAGGCUUUGACGGGUAGCCGGCCUGAGAGGGUGACCGGCCACAUUGGGACUGAGAUACGGCCCAGACUCCUACGGGAGGAAGCAGGGGGGAAUAUUGCACAAUGGGCGGAAGCCUGAUGCAGCAACGCCGCGUGCGGGAUGACGGCCUUCGGGUUGUAAACCGCUUUCGCCUGUGACGAAGCGUGAGUGACGGUAAUGGGUAAAGAAGCACCGGCUAACUACGUG
This 468-nucleotide ribosomal RNA is filed under the name uncultured bacterium. RNAcentral describes it as "partial 16S ribosomal RNA". It matches the Rfam family "Bacterial small subunit ribosomal RNA", at positions 28 to 507 of the family's 1533-position model. The record is from RNAcentral.